RNAcentral lists this small RNA (762 nucleotides) under Pongo abelii (Sumatran orangutan). RNAcentral's name for it is "processed transcript". Lineage: Eukaryota; Metazoa; Chordata; Mammalia; Primates; Hominidae. The record is from RNAcentral.
UUGGGUCUUAUAUUAAAAACAGCCGAGUAGUGGUGAAAUUAAAUUAAGUGGUAAAGAAAAUUAUUUUAAUGAGAGCAGUCUUUCAAUAGCAGGUCUGGUUGGUUAUUGAUGGCUCCUGCAGACAAUAAUGAUGUUAAAAUCUGCUUGGGCUUAGAAUCAGCAAACAAAUCAUUUGCCUAACUGGAGAUAACAAGAGUAAUCCACAGACUUAAAACAUGAGCUCAGAUGCCAGCCAAGGUGUGAUUACCACUCCUCCUCCUCCCAGCAUGCCUCACAAAGAGAGAUAUUUUGACCGCAUCAAUGAAAAUGACCCAGAAUACAUUAGGGAGAGGAACAUGUCUCCUGAUCUACGACAAGACUUCAACAUGAUGGAGCAGAGGAAACGAGUUACUCAGAUCCUGCAAAGUCCUGCCUUUCGGGAAGACUUGGAAUGCCUUAUUCAAGAACAGAUGAAGAAAGGCCACAACCCAACUGGAUUACUAGCAUUACAGCAGAUUGCAGAUUACAUCAUGGCCAAUUCUUUCUCGGGUUUUUCUUCACCUCCUCUCAGUCUUGGCAUGGUCACACCUAUCAAUGACCUUCCUGGUGCAGAUACAUCCUCAUAUGUGAAGGGAGAAAAACUUACUCGCUGUAAACUUGCCAGCCUGUACAGACUUGUAGACUUGUUUGGAUGGGCACACCUGGCAAAUACCUAUAUCUCAGUAAGAAUAAGUAAGGAGCAAGACCACAUUAUAAUAAUUCCCAGAGGCCUAUCUUUUUCUG